GAGGUGGUUUUAGUACGUAGGCGCUGUGGGACUUCAUUGUCCCAAUGAUGCAGCGAAUCGUGCAUACGAGAUUGGUUGCUCGUAUCUUUAGAAGAUUUCCUUCCUC
This is a regulatory RNA element of Drosophila willistoni, 106 nucleotides long. It matches the Rfam family "R2 RNA element", at positions 89 to 205 of the family's 212-position model. Rfam says of the family: This family represents the 3' UTR region of the R2 retrotransposable element. The record is from Rfam. NCBI's taxonomy places the organism in Eukaryota, Metazoa, Arthropoda, Insecta, Diptera, Drosophilidae.